CCAUUUGCAUCCCGCCUGCGGCUCACCUAUAUAGGUCUUGCCCGCAAGGGCUACGGCAAUAAAUGGUCAUUGUAAUAAACCCAUCGGACCCGGGGGCAGUACCCGGCGUCUCCACCAUCUCCCCUCUCUCGGGAGGAGCCAAUGGGGACGAAACAGGAUCGACGAGGGCGUAAAGAGUGUGCUUUUGCUCGGUGAGGUACCACCGUUAUCGGUCCGAAACUUAUAGUUGCUAAUGACAACCAUAAGGCUCCGGUCGCUCUCGCCGCGUAAGCGGUGCUAGCACUGGGAAUCUAAGUCCUCCGCUCCUAGCCGGGCGACAGGCGGGGUCCGCAGGCACCUGGCAACAGAAGCCUGCACU
This is a non-coding RNA of Pelagibacterium sp. SCN 63-23, 358 nucleotides long. NCBI's taxonomy places the organism in Bacteria, Pseudomonadati, Pseudomonadota, Alphaproteobacteria, Hyphomicrobiales, Devosiaceae. The record is from Rfam.